GCAGAUUGUAGAGCAAAGGCCCAUAAUAGAGGAGUUCAAGAAUCAAUGGCCUGCUCUUUUUCAGCAGAGUGAAGUGAAUGCUGAGUUUAUGCGGAUCACUACUAAGCCACUGCAAUCAACAUUCCUAUCAGAGCUGGACCGCUUUUCAGACAAACUGAUGCAGAUCUUACAGAGCAGAGGAGGAGUUAAAGGGCAGAAGAUCAAAAAUGCCAUGAUGAUCACAGACUCUUGUGACAACAUUAACAUCAAGAGAGAGUGCAUCCUGAAAGUCCUUAUUCUCUACCUCAAUGAAGAUCCAGACUCUUUCUUUAAGGAUUAUGUG
Long non-coding RNA from Triplophysa rosa, 322 nucleotides. RefSeq lists it as uncharacterized. The transcript is spliced from 3 exons. NCBI's taxonomy places the organism in Eukaryota, Metazoa, Chordata, Actinopteri, Cypriniformes, Nemacheilidae. The record is from RefSeq and is a predicted model, not a curated record.